AUGAACGCUGGCGGCGUGCCUAAUACAUGCCAGUCGAGCGAACAGACGAGGAGCUUGCCCCUCUGACGUUAACGGCGGACGGGUGAGUAACACGCGGAUAACCUACCUAUAAGACUGGGAUAACUUCGGGAAACCGGAGCUAGUACCGGAUAAUAUAUUGAACCGUAUGGUUCAAUAGUGAAAGACGGUUUUGCUGUCACUUAUAGAUGGAUCCGCGCCGCAUUAGCUAGCUGGUAAGGUAACGGCUUACCAAGGCAACGAAGCGUAGCCAAGCUGAGAGGGAGGUCGGCUAGCCUGGUACUGAGACACGGUACACACUCCUACACGAGGAAGCAGUAGAGAAUCGUCCGAAAUGGGCGAAAGCUCGACAGUGCAACGACGAGCGAGUCCUGAAGGUCUUCGGAUCGGAAAGCUAUGUCAUUAGGGAAGAACAAAUGUGUAAUUACCUGUGAACACCUGGACGGUACCAAAGCAGAAAGCCCCGGCUAACUACGUG
RNAcentral lists this ribosomal RNA (496 nucleotides) under uncultured bacterium. Its description in RNAcentral is "partial 16S ribosomal RNA". It matches the Rfam family "Bacterial small subunit ribosomal RNA", at positions 29 to 507 of the family's 1533-position model. The record is from RNAcentral.